GCUCUUGUGGUGCAAUUGGCUAGUCGCGUUCGGCUAUUAGGGGCGGGUACACCGUCAGGGACACGUCCAAAGCAACCGGAAGGUUGGUGGUCCAAGCCCACCCAAGAGCG
This is a non-coding RNA of Borealophlyctis nickersoniae, 110 nucleotides long. The record is from the annotation of a GenBank genome assembly. Lineage: Eukaryota; Fungi; Chytridiomycota; Chytridiomycetes; Rhizophlyctidales; Borealophlyctidaceae.